AAAGGUAACGGAGGCGCUCAAAGGUUCCCUCAGAAUGGUUGGAAAUCAUUCAUAGAGUGUAAAGGCAUAAGGGAGCUUGACUGCGAGACCUACAAGUCGAGCAGGGUCGAAAGACGGACUUAGUGAUCCGGUGGUUCCGCAUGGAAGGGCCAUCGCUCAACGGAUAAAAGCUACCCCGGGGAUAACAGGCUUAUCUCCCCCAAGAGUUCACAUCGACGGGGAGGUUUGGCACCUCGAUGUCGGCUCAUCGCAUCCUGGGGCUGUAGUCGGUCCCAAGGGUUGGGCUGUUCGCCCAUUAAAGCGGUACGCGAGCUGGGUUCAGAACGUCGUGAGACAGUUCGGUCCCUAUCCGUCGUGGGCGUAGGAAAUUUGAGAGGAGCUGUCCUUAGUACGAGAGGACCGGGAUGGACAUACCUCUGGUGUACCAGUUGUCGUGCCAACGGCAUAGCUGGGUAGCUAUGUGUGGACGGGAUAAGUGCUG
Molecule: ribosomal RNA, 481 nt
Filed under: Staphylococcus aureus
Lineage: Bacteria; Bacillati; Bacillota; Bacilli; Caryophanales; Staphylococcaceae
Description: partial 23S ribosomal RNA
Rfam family: Bacterial large subunit ribosomal RNA
Source: RNAcentral